CCUACGGGAGGCAGCAGUGAGGAAUAUUGGUCAAUGGACGAGAGUCUGAACCAGCCAAGUAGCGUGAAGGAUGACUGCCCUAUGGGUUGUAAACUUCUUUUAUAUGGGAAUAAAAUGUUCCACGUGUGGGCUUUUGUAUGUACCAUAUGAAUAAGGAUCGGCUAACUCCGUGCCAGCAGCCGCGGUAAUACGGAGGAUCCGAGCGUUAUCCGGAUUUAUUGGGUUUAAAGGGAGCGUAGGUGGAUUGUUAAGUCAGUUGUGAAAGUUUGCGGCUCAACCGUAAAAGUGCAGUUGAAACUGGCAGUCUUGAGUACAGUAGAGGUGGGCGGAAGUCGUGGUGUAGCGGUGAAAUGCUUAGAGAUCACGAAGAACUCCGAUUGCGAAGGCAGCUCACUGGACUGCAACUGACACUGAGGCUCGAAAGUGUGGGUAUCAAACAGGAUUAGAUACCCUGGUAGUC
This 460-nucleotide ribosomal RNA is filed under the name uncultured bacterium. Its description in RNAcentral is "partial 16S ribosomal RNA". It matches the Rfam family "Bacterial small subunit ribosomal RNA", at positions 338 to 795 of the family's 1533-position model. The record is from RNAcentral.